This 465-nucleotide ribosomal RNA is filed under the name uncultured bacterium. Its description in RNAcentral is "partial 16S ribosomal RNA". It matches the Rfam family "Bacterial small subunit ribosomal RNA", at positions 28 to 507 of the family's 1533-position model. The record is from RNAcentral.
GACGAACGCUGGCGGCGUGCUUAACACAUGCAAGUCGAACGGAAAGGCCCUGCUUGCAGGGUACUCGAGUGGCGAACGGGUGAGUAACACGUGGGUAAUCUGCCCUGCACUUCGGGAUAAGCCUGGGAAACUGGGUCUAAUACCGGAUAGGAGCCAUUUUUAGUGUGAUGGUUGGAAAGUUUUUUCGGUGUAGGAUGAGCUCGCGGCCUAUCAGCUUGUUGGUGGGGUAAUGGCCUACCAAGGCGGCGACGGGUAGCCGGCCUGAGAGGGUGGACGGCCACAUUGGGACUGAGAUACGGCCCAGACUCCUACGGGAGGCAGCAGUGGGGAAUAUUGCACAAUGGGCGCAAGCCUGAUGCAGCGACGCCGCGUGGGGGAUGACGGCCUUCGGGUUGUAAACUCCUUUCGCUAGGGACGAAGCUUUUUGUGACGGUACCUAGAUAAGAAGCACCGGCUAACUACGUG